This 468-nucleotide ribosomal RNA is filed under the name uncultured bacterium. Its description in RNAcentral is "partial 16S ribosomal RNA". It matches the Rfam family "Bacterial small subunit ribosomal RNA", at positions 28 to 507 of the family's 1533-position model. The record is from RNAcentral.
GACGAACGCUGGCGGCGUGCUUAACACAUGCAAGUCGAACGGAAAGCCCCUGCUUUUGUGGGUUGCUCGAGUGGCGAACGGUUGAUUAACCCGUGAUUAACCUGCCCUUGACUUUGGGUUAACUUCAGGAAACUGGGGCUAAUACCGGAUAGGAGCUCCUGCUGCAUGGUGGGGGUUGGAAAGUUUCGGCGGUUGGGGAUGGACUCGCGGCUUAUCAGCUUGUUGGUGGGGUAGUGGCUUACCAAGGCUUUGACGGGUAGCCGGCCUGAGAGGGUGACCGGCCACAUUGGGACUGAGAUACGGCCCAGACUCCUACGGGAGGCAGCAGUGGGGAAUAUUGCACAAUGGGCGGAAGCCUGAUGCAGCAACGCCGCGUGCGGGAUGACGGCCUUCGGGUUGUAAACCGCUUUCGCCUGUGACGAAGCGUGAGUGACGGUAAUGGGUAAAGAAGCACCGGCUAACUACGUG